AGGACGAACGCUGGCGGCGUGCUUAACACAUGCAAGUCGAACGGUGAACCACCUUCGGGUGGGGAUCAGUGGCGAACGGGUGAGUAACACGUGACCAACCUGCCCCUAACUCUGGGAUAACCCCGGGAAACCGGAGCUAAUACCGGAUACGAGACCGAGUGGCAUCACUUGGUCUGGAAAGUUUUUCGGUAGGGAUGGGGUCGCGGCCUAUCAGCUUGUUGGUGGGUAAUGGCCUACAAGGCGACGACGGGUAGCCGG
Molecule: ribosomal RNA, 258 nt
Filed under: uncultured soil bacterium
Lineage: Bacteria
Description: partial 16S ribosomal RNA
Rfam family: Bacterial small subunit ribosomal RNA
Source: RNAcentral